Molecule: non-coding RNA, 125 nt
Organism: Brachypodium distachyon (stiff brome)
Lineage: Eukaryota; Viridiplantae; Streptophyta; Magnoliopsida; Poales; Poaceae
Source: Rfam
UUGUUACUCCCUCUGAUCCUAAAUUGUUGACUCAAAUUUGUCCGAAUAUGGAUGUAUCUAUUCUUAAAAAACGUCUAGAUACAUGUAAUAUUUCGACAACAAUUUAGGAUCGGAGGGAGUAGUUC